This 76-nucleotide transfer RNA is filed under the name Rhinogobius brunneus (Amur goby). Its description in RNAcentral is "tRNA-Lys". Lineage: Eukaryota; Metazoa; Chordata; Actinopteri; Gobiiformes; Gobiidae. The record is from RNAcentral.
CGCUAAGAAGCUAAAUCGGACUCCCAGCGUCAGCCUUUUAAGCUGAAGAUUGGUGCCUUCCAACCACCCCUAGCGA